GGUGGUGCAUGGCCGUUCUUAGUUGGUGGAGCGAUUUGUCUGGUUCAUUCCGAUAACGAACGAGACUCUGGCAUGCUAACUAGUUACGCGACCCCCGAGCGGUCGGCGUCCCCCAACUUCUUAGAGGGACAAGUGGCGUUCAGCCACCCGAGAUUGAGCAAUAACAGGUCUGUGAUGCCCUUAGAUGUCCGGGGCUGCACGCGCGCUACACUGACUGGCUCAGCGUGUGCCUACCCUACGCCGGCAGGCGCGGGUAACCCGUUGAACCCCAUUCGUGAUGGGGAUCGGGGAUUGCAAUUAUUCCCCAUGAACGAGGAAUUCCCAGUAAGUGCGGGUCAUAAGCUUGCGUUGAUUAAGUCCCUGCCCUUUGUACACACCGCCCG
Molecule: ribosomal RNA, 383 nt
Filed under: Clostridium butyricum
Lineage: Bacteria; Bacillati; Bacillota; Clostridia; Eubacteriales; Clostridiaceae
Description: SSU rRNA
Rfam family: Eukaryotic small subunit ribosomal RNA
Source: RNAcentral